GCCGAGCAGAGUAUCUAACCCAUUGAUUCAAGAUGCCCGAUUUGGGGAUGAGAAGGUCACCCCAAUAUCCCCACGGGCAAUACCAGUUCCCUCUGGAUUGGCUUCGUCCCCCUCAACAUCAUCCGCCAGGAAAGGCGGAUGUGUGAGCAGGGCGAAUUUUGGCCAUAAUCCAGCAGUGAGAGUUGAAGGUUUCGAUUGCCUUGACAGGGAUCGUCGUAAUUGCAGCAUCCCUACCUUGGCUUAAGAGAAAACAGUACAUAGAGGAAGAUUUUCGUCAGACUGAGAAACAAAGGAAAAAGAUCCUUUUGCCUAGUGUAAAUAUAAGUUCAAAAGGGAUCUCUAUGUAAGUAAAAAAUGUAAUAUAGUGUCUUUUUGUCUCUGUAAGUAAAUGAGAGUCGUUAUUAACAAAGCUAUUAGAGUCUAAUUAGGAGUAAUUUAAUGGUUUCUUGUUCGAAGAAAUUUUGUAAAAAAUGAGAAGGAAAAAUUAGUUGUUGAGUGGAAUCAUUGUAAAAUGUGUAUGAUAUGUAUAUAAGAAUUCCG
RNAcentral lists this unclassified non-coding RNA (540 nucleotides) under Hevea brasiliensis (rubber tree). Lineage: Eukaryota; Viridiplantae; Streptophyta; Magnoliopsida; Malpighiales; Euphorbiaceae. The record is from RNAcentral.